This 5119-nucleotide long non-coding RNA is filed under the name Homo sapiens (human). Its description in RNAcentral is "long non-coding RNA NONHSAT162231.1". The record is from RNAcentral. Lineage: Eukaryota; Metazoa; Chordata; Mammalia; Primates; Hominidae.
CUUGUGGUUUUUAUUGUUUUCCUCAGCCUAGAACUAGAUGGCCCAGUCAGGAAACUGAAGGAUAGCAAUCCAUAUCAUUCAUUCGUUUACUUUCACAACACUGCCUCUAAGUUGUACAAACUCUUCUCAAGCAAAGACAGCUCAUAACUUCUUUCAAGGUAGAAAGUUCUUCUAAAGAAGGAGUCAAUAUGGGGUGGGGGUUAUGGACACCUACUUCAAGUCACAUAGAUUUGGGUUUUAACCCAGAACAGUUUCAAUGCAUUCUCCUGUUUACUUAAACAAAUUACUUAAUCUUAUGUCUGAAAUAGUGCUAACAAUACCUAUCACACAGUUUGUGAGGAUUAAAAGAAAAGAAGGUACGUAGAGCACCUCCUAGCACUGUGCCUGGCUCACAGUGAAUGCUCAAAAUGGCAGUUAAGGAGAAUAGAGCUAAAUUCAGCUUCAGUCUGUCCUUUUCCAGUAUGUGCUGCAUAAUUCUGCCUAGGUUUACGUGAGCUCUGCGAUUGUUCCUCACGUGUCUUUAUGUUUUGUUUCUCUACUUAGGCUGUAAGCACCCCUUACCAGGAUCUGAUAUUCUUUCAUAUUAUUGAAUUCCACAGAAGUCUUUACGGCAGGACCCCUGCUCAGGCAUCAAAUAAUUAUAAUUCGUCCAUCUGCCAUUUCAAGUUCAUGAAAUGUGUUAUUUGAUCUUCUACAUCAGCAGACUUUGCUCUGUAUUAAGAUACAGUUUAUCUACUUUCCUUAAGUGCAUCCAGUGGAGACUAAAAAGCCUUAUAUGUGGUUUGAAGAAAAAAGAAGGUCAGGAACAUCAGUGUACCUUGAAGGUGGUAGAAGAGUAGAGAGAACCUUCAAGGCUGGGUGAGAAAAUUGGGUCUGUUAGACUUGACUGAAUCCACGCAUUGAAUAGAGUCUUCUCUUCCAAGGCUGCAGGCAUGAGCUUUGCAAGUUUGAGCACACAAACUCUUGGCCUGAAACCACAGCUUCAGAAUGAGCCUGGCACUAGGAGUUAUCUCCAUAAUCUCCUUCCCUUCCCCAAAUUAGAGUUAUUUUUCCCUUCUUUCUUCUGAUGAUGAGGAUAUAAUCCUGGCAAGAGUUGACCAUUUCCCCAAUAUUAUCUGUUCAUUUUUACCAUUAUUUGGUGUGUUAUUCAUUUUUGGAAUGAUUUGCAGUGAAUGUUUUAUUGUGGCCCAGCAUGCUCCUGUUAUCCUGCAUUCUUCAGCACAGCCAUCUCUUCACUCAUCAUUUGGCAAGGGCUAGAAUAAAACAAAUCUUCUGAAUAUUUGUUCCUCUUACAGAAACUCUUCUUGCUAAGUCAGACCCCUCAGGGAGCACCUUCCUGUGUUGUAUCUGAAAUCUCCUGUUUUGGCUAUCAGUGUCAUAGUUUGCUACCAGAAGUAUGGUAAUUGAGACCACGGAGAACCCUCCCCAAAAUGGUGAAAAGCCUUAGAAGCCUUUGUUUUAAAAGAUGUGGAGAUGAAUUCCUGAGAGUUUAGAUGCUUCUCCUACCCCUCCUCCUCUGGCCUCAUGAUGUCCUGCCAUUCGUACAUUUGAGACAUGUGCUAAAGAAUAUCUACCCAUCCUGCACAUCUUCACCUGGAAAAAUGCUGGCUGAUUCCAUGUGUCCCACAGGGGGAUGUGUUGAUUUGGAUAGUGGGCAGCAGAAAGCCUUUGCUAUUCAGAAUAUGGAAAUGGGAGAAAUGGAGCCAGAAAAUGUUUACAGAACAGUGAGAGAAGAAAAGGAAAACUACCCAAAGGACAGCUGACCUGUUUAAAAGCAGAAUAUACUUAAAAUACCCCAAGGACUGAGGCUUUUGUAACAUGAGUGAUGAGUAUUAAAGGUAAAAGAUUCCUGUUUUCAAACAGAGAUAUUCCUAAACCUACCAAGCAAAGGAGAAUCCACAAUAUCUGUUGUGGUAGGAAGUUCUUCUGAAGUCUAACAUUAAUCCCUCCGAUGUUAUUUUAUUUGCCUAUAUUAAUGUGUUGCUUUGUAAUUGUUCUAAGGUUGCUUUUAUUGUGUGUGUUUUGCCCUCACAGGUAAACUCCUCCAGGGCAGGACCUGACUCUUCAGAGGAAUUUUUUAAUCCCCCUCCCCAGAAGUGCCCACGUCAAGGCCAUAGUAGAGAAGGAGCUCAAGAGCAAUCCCUAAGCAACCACGCUUGGAAGCAUCCUGCAACAGAGGGAUUUGUUCCAGACUCAGAUUUAAUCCACUAUUACCUUUUCGUAAGACAAGUGUUGUCUGAAGGAGUCUGUGUGUAAUUUUGAGACAAAAGGAUUGCAGAACUCAGCUCCCAGGUUGUCUCAUAUCUGAUUCUUCGAAAGAGGAAAAGAAGCGAACUCUUCUGCACAAUAGCUGAGCAGAUAGGAGAGAAAAAGCUUGAAGAUUCACAGUGGAGCAAGGCUAAUUGGAGCCUUCCUCAGAGCAGCUCAACUAUCCCAGUUUUACCUAUCCCAUUCCUUGCCAUUCCCACUUGUAAUUCUGUCUUGGCAAGAACACCAUACUGAAGGUUCUUAAAGCAGUUUGUAGACUUUAAUUAGUUCUGUGGAAAGUCAGUCAAAGCUCAGCCUUCAUUCUGCCAACAGAGACAACAGUGGUGGGUGUGGAAGGAAGGCAAGAAGAAGAUGGACACCCAGAGCAGUUGUGCAACUUACUGAAGGCCAUGUGGAUAGGAGGAACUGGGUUUAAAACCCCUGAGUCUUGAUAAAAGUGUCUUAGCCUUCUAGAUUCCUAAACAGGUAGUGGGCUCAUCCUACUAACCUACUUUGCUAGGGUGUUGUUGAUGAAUGCUUAUAAACCCUGUCCUAGAUGAUAGGUUUGGAAGAUUGUUAAAGAAAGCAUGUCAUUAAGUCCCUACUCACCCCCUCCUUGACAAAUAGCCCUGGAGGGAAAUGAAUAUUAGCCAGAAUCGUAGGGCCUCCACUUCAAUGGAAUGAACUGAGAUUCAACAACAAGAGAAAUGUUCCAACAGUGAGGGAAAUCAACAAUGUGCUGGGGGUGAAGGGUAGGGGUUGGGAAGGCCUAAACAGGUGACCAUUGCCAGACAGCCCAGACAAGAUCAUCACAGAAUAGCUGAUUCCCAUUAGACACUGUGGGUGAUCAUUAUCUUAAAAUUCAGGACACUAUUUUUGUAGUAGUUUCCCUUCCUCUCUUUGUAAGAGCAGAAGACCUCUCUGGGGCCUAUCACAAGACAAGCGGGUGUUUGCAAAUGAGGGACGUACUUUGAGACUGAAUUGCUCUGUGCUUCUCUAAAAGACAUGGUUAAGAGUUUGGGCGCUGAUGUUAGAGACUGAGAUUAAAAUCCUUCCUUGCCACUUCCAUCAGUAUAAAUUUGGAUAAGUUUCUUAACUUCUCUAAGCCUUGAUUUUCUCACCUAUAAAAUGGGCCUAAUAAUAGUGCCUAACUUAGAGGUUUGUUGUAAAGGUUAAAUGCAAUUAUUCAGGUAAAGCCUUAAUGGAGCCUGAUAUGUAGUAAGCACUCAAUCCAUUUUAUCUACUGACUCUUUUCUCUGUGUGGGUUACCCACUUUGGAGAUUGUCCCCAGUAAUUUCUUUGGUCAAGUCUUGAUCUCCCUGGCCCCUUGGCUGUCUUCUCCCACCAUGAUCAGUGAGAAGUUGAGGAGCACUAAUACCAAAUUCUUUUUCAUGUUAGUUAGGAGAAAGCAGAAUUACGAAGGUCAACCUGCUGGUGUAAAAAAAUAUUACAUAGAUUAGCCCUGCUCUACAUAUUAGAUAUGUUCUCAAAAUGCCUAAGUGGCCUUUUUUUUUUUUUUUAAUUUAAGUUCUAGGGUACAUGUGCACAACGUGCAGGUUUGUUACAUGUGUAUACAUGUGCCAUGUUGGUGUGUGGCACCCAUUAACUUGUCAUUUACAUUAGGUAUAUCUCCUAAUGCUAUCCCUCCCACCCCCACCCCCUGGCAGGCCCUGGUGUGUGAUGUUCCCCACCCUGUGUCCAUGUGUUCUCGUUGUUCAAUUCCCACCUAUGAGUGAGAACACACGUGUUUGGGUUUUUGUCCUUGCGAUACUUUGCCAAGAAUGAUGGUUUCCAGCUUCAUCCAUGUCCCUACAAAGGACAUGAACUCAUCAUUUUUAUGGCUGCAUAGUAUUCCAUGGUGUAUAUGUGCCACAUUUUCUUAAUCCAGUCUAUCAUUGAUGGACAUUUGGGUUGGUUCCAAGUCUUUGCUAUUAUGAAUAGUGCCACAAUAAACGUAUGUGUACCUGUGUCUUUAUAACAGCAUGAUUUAUAAUCCUUUGGGUAUGUGCCCAGUAAUGGGAUGGCUGGGUCAAAUGGUAUUUCUAGUUCUAGAUCCUUGAGGAAUUGCCUAAGUGGCCAUGUUUAUAUUGGGUAAUCUUUAAAUGACUUUAUUUGCAAGUCUGAGUAAUAUACUCAUAGAAACAAGAAUCACAGUUAAGGGAAGGGAAACUAAUAUUUGAGCUUGAGACACUUUCCAUAUCCAAGUCCAAUUGAAUCCUCCCAAUCACCCAAUAAAGAGAUCUUAUUAUUCCCAUUUUAUAUGUUAAACAACCAAAACUCAGAGAGGUUAAUUAAUACUCUCAAAAUCACUCUUCUAGGGGUGGUGGAGCCUAAGUUUGAAUGCAGCUCUGGCUCCCAAACCUGUCCAUUUUCUACUAUGUCAUGCUCAAAGGCAUAUUCUGCUUUUGUCCAUUGUCAGCCUAUGUGCAUUUAAGUUUCCCACACAAAUUCAAGAAGAAUUUUAUCCAUCAAUUCACAUGACCUUGAGUAUUAAUUUAGUUUAAAAAUCUUUCCCCUUAUGAUUUAAAAAAUAUUCACUUUAAGAAAUUAUCUGCCAUGUGCAGGAUUAUCAUAGGAUUAAAAAAAAAAAAGAAAUUAGCAGCCGGUUGUGGUGGUUCAUGCCUGUAAUCCCAGCACUUUGGGAGACUGAGGUGGGAGCAUUGCUUGAGGCCAGGAGUUCAAGACCAGCCUGGGUAGCAUAGUGAGACUCUGCCUCUACAAAAAAUUAAAAAUUAGCCAAGCAUGGUGACACACGCCUGUAGUCCCAGCUACUCAGGAGGCUGAGGCAAGAAGAUUACUUGAGCCCAGAAGGUUGAGGCUGCAGUGAGCUAUGACCACUACAUUCCAAUCUGGGUGAGGGGUGAGAGAAGAA